Olea europaea var. sylvestris is the source of this 303-nucleotide long non-coding RNA. RefSeq lists it as uncharacterized. The transcript has 2 exons. The record is from RefSeq and is a predicted model, not a curated record. Lineage: Eukaryota; Viridiplantae; Streptophyta; Magnoliopsida; Lamiales; Oleaceae.
CUCUGUAUUGUGGCUAAAUUAGGGUUGGUACACGGAAUCGAUUACACAGAGCCACACGAUCACGCAUCUAAACAUAUAGUAGCAUGUUCUUAUCGAAAAUCAAUAUAUUGAGGCCAAUGAUGCAUAAAAAUUGUCCGUACCAUCUGAGGAUCUUUACUAAGUCUCCUUUGAUGUGAAUUCGCCUGUAUUUUCUGAGCGCUGUACGUUGCCGAUAACAAUUAGGUUCUGAGAUUCUGGCAUUUGCUUCUUUUAUUGAGCUUGUGCAUUCAGAUGUGCCCACAUUUUGGUAUUGAAGAUGAUGAA